AUUGAACGCUGGCGGCAUGCCUUACACAUGCAAGUCGAACGGCAGCACGGGAGCAAUCCUGGUGGCGAGUGGCGAACGGGUGAGUAAUGUAUCGGAACGUGCCCAGUCGUGGGGGAUAACGCAGCGAAAGCUGUGCUAAUACCGCAUACGAUCUAUGGAUGAAAGCGGGGGAUCGCAAGACCUCGCGCGAUUGGAGCGGCCGAUAUCAGAUUAGGUAGUUGGUGGGGUAAAGGCCCACCAAGCCGACGAUCUGUAGCUGGUCUGAGAGGACGACCAGCCACACUGGGACUGAGACACGGCCCAGACUCCGACGGGAGGCAGCAGUGGGGAAUUUUGGACAAUGGGCGCAAGCCUGAUCCGGCAAUGCCGCGUGCAGGAUGAAGGCCUUCGGGUUGUAAACUGCUUUUGUACGGAGCGAAACGGCUUCCACUAAUACUGGGGGCUAAUGACGGUACCGUAAGAAUAAGCACCGGCUAACUACGUGCCAGCCGCCGCGGUAA
This 500-nucleotide ribosomal RNA is filed under the name uncultured bacterium. RNAcentral describes it as "partial 16S ribosomal RNA". It matches the Rfam family "Bacterial small subunit ribosomal RNA", at positions 29 to 523 of the family's 1533-position model. The record is from RNAcentral.